AGAAUGAAUCUACAGUGAUUCUGCCCAGUGAUUUUUUUUUAAAUGGCCGCAGUACCUUGACUGUGCUAAGGUAGCAUAAUCAAUUGGCUUCUAAUUAAAGUCUGGAAUGAAAGGAAAUAUGAAGUAAUUCUAUCUUAAAGGAUUUUUUUUGAAUUUAUUUAAAUGAUGAAAAUAUCAUUUUAUAGAAAAAAGACGAGAAGACCCUUAGAGUUUUGAUAUUUAUAUAUUUUUGUUGGGGCGACAGGUAAACAUAUAACUUUACGAAUUAUCAUUGAUCGAUUUUUUAUAAGAAUAAUAAAACUACCUUAGGGAUAACAGCAUUAUAUUUUUUUUUAUGAUUGUGACCUCGAUGUUGGACUAGGAACUUUAUGGCUAGCCGUCAAAAAAGAUUUGUUCUGUUCGAACAAUUUUAUCCUACGUGAUCUGA
RNAcentral lists this ribosomal RNA (427 nucleotides) under Biomphalaria straminea. Its description in RNAcentral is "partial 16S ribosomal RNA". It matches the Rfam family "Bacterial large subunit ribosomal RNA", at positions 1838 to 2608 of the family's 2925-position model. Lineage: Eukaryota; Metazoa; Mollusca; Gastropoda; Planorbidae. The record is from RNAcentral.